Molecule: ribosomal RNA, 494 nt
Filed under: uncultured bacterium
Lineage: Bacteria
Description: partial 16S ribosomal RNA
Rfam family: Bacterial small subunit ribosomal RNA
Source: RNAcentral
GACGAACGCUGGCGGUGUGCCUAAUACAUGCAAGUCGAACGGUUUAGUUGCAAGAGGUUGGUCUCUUGGAAGUAAGCAGUGGGGGACGGGAGAGUAACACGUAGGCAACCUACUUGGUAAAGCGGGAUAACCGCGGGCAUACGAAGCUACACCCGAAGAACUACCGUUUACGCAUGAAGGGGUUGGGAACUUGCGCGAUCUGAUGACAGAUGGUCCUGCGGCGUAUUUGCUAGUAGGUAGGGUAACGGCCUACCGAGGCGAUGAUGCGUAGCCGACCUGAGAGGGCGUACGGCCACACUGGGACUGCGAUACGGCCCAGACUCCUACGGGAGGCAGCAGUAGGGAAUCUUAGGCAAUGGGCGAAAGCCUGACCGAGCAACGCCGCGUGAGUGAGGAAGGCCUUCGGGUUGUAAAACUCUGUUGUUUGGGAAGAAGGGAAAGGGUAGGACCCUUAGGUGACGGUACCAAACGAGAAAGCCCCGGCUAACUACGUG